GUGGGCGCGCCUCGCCCGGGCUGUUCGCCUCCGCCUACUGCCUGCGCCGCCGCUCCCCCUCCCCGUCACGGCGGCGGUGCCGCCACUACAGCGAGCGGGAGGAGGAGGAGGAGGAGGAGGAGGAAGAAGGGAGAGAGGGAGGCAGGUCCGGCGGCCCUCUCGGCUACCCCCAGCGGCGAGGCGGGCGAGGGGAAAGAUGGCGACGCUGGGAGGCGAGUCGCAGCCCUUCCCCGCCACGGCUCUGGCGGCGGCAACGGCCGGGGUGGGCGGCGGCGGGUCUCUGGGCUUGCAGGCGCCGCUGAACCGCGGUCUGGAGCGGGCGCUGGAGGAGGCGGCGCACUCCGGGGGGCUCAACCUGAGCGGCAGGAAGCUGAAGGAGUUCCCGCGCAGCGCCACCGCCCUCAGCCACGAUCUGUCCGAUACGGUGCGGGCAGAUUUAUCCAAGAAUAGAUUAACGGAGGUUCCUACAGAGUUGUGCCAUUUUGUGUCACUGGAAACACUAAAUCUAUACCACAAUUGUAUUAAAAUUAUACCAGAUGCCAUAGUAAAUUUGCAAAUGCUAACUUACUUAAAUUUGAGUCGAAAUCAACUUUCUUCUUUGCCAGCUUGCCUGUGUGGUCUUCCUCUAAAAGUCUUAAUUGCAAGUAACAAUAAGCUAGGUUCCCUUCCAGAAGAGAUAGGUCAGCUAAAACAGUUAAUGGAACUGGAUGUCAGCUGUAAUGAAAUCACAGCUUUGCCACAACAGAUAGGCCAGCUGAAAUCUUUAAAAGAACUAAAUGUCAGAAGAAAUUACCUCGAAGUUUUACCCCAAGAACUUGUACAGCUUCCCUUAGUAAAGUUUGACUUUUCCUGCAAUAAAGUGCUUGUGAUUCCAAUAUGCUUUAGAAAGAUGGUGCAGUUACAAGUAUUACUGCUUGAGAAUAAUCCUUUGCAGUCUCCACCAGCACAAAUUUGUACAAAGGGUAAGGUGCAUAUAUUCAAAUAUCUGACUGUACAGGCCUGUCAGAUUAAAACAGCAGACUCACUGUAUCUUAAUGCCAUAGAACAACAGCAUUUGCCACAACCCGUGGAAGAGAGCAUCGAUGACAUCUAUCCAAGUAAAAAGGACUCAGAUUCAGGUGUUGGUAGUGAUAAUGGUGAUAAACGUUUGUCAGCAACAGAGCCAUCUGAUGAAGACACUAUCAGCUUUAAUGUGCCAAUGUCGGACAUUGUGGAAGAAGAUCAUGUUGUAAAGGAAGAUUCAAGUCACCAUGCUAACUCAAGAAAAGUGGAAUUCCAUCAAGUAUCUUCUCACUUGAUUGUCAAUGAUAAGUCAAGAGAAAUAGAAGACCAGUUUGAUGAAUCAGAUACUCUUACUACUGAAUUUAUGAGUUACAUUAAGAGUAGAGCAGCAGAGUGUGAUGAAUUGUUGAGAAUAGAAGAGGACACACAAUGGCACACAAACGAAAUAAUAAAUUUAUCAGAAGAACAAACUAUUGAUAUAGCAAUGAUAGAACAACUAAGAGAAGCAGUAGAUUUAUUACAAGAUCCCAACAGAUUAAGCAUGGAUAUUUCAGAGAGCAGUGGUGUGAAUCUGUAUCCCAUGGAACCAGCAACGGCUUUAGAAUUUCAGAAGUCUACAGUAAACAGUCAAAUGCAGAUGGAGAUGUCUUCCCUUGGUCAGAGAGAAAAUGCUGAAGAGGAACUAGAAUUUCAGAGGAGGAGGGAGUUGAUUAUGGAGAAAGCAAAGUCCGAAGUGAGACCUUGUGAACAGGGUGAAAAAUGGUCAUUCAGUCAGAAUGAUCGAAUUGUUUGGAAUACAAGUGGACAAACCUCUCACAAUGAGAACAAGGAUAAAAGUCCAGCAAUGUCUCCUACUACAAACACCACAAUCCCUUUUGGCUUGAAGCCACGAUCAGAAGACCCAUCCCUCAGUCUUCCUCCUAUCUCCUUCAACACACUUACACAGGCACAAACAUGGGACAACUUUAGCUACAGUAUCCCAUCUGAAGGAGACAGUGACAAUGUGUUCUUAAGACCACAGAGAAAUUUGGAAUCAAUAGACCCACAAUUUACAAUUCGAAGGAAAAUGGAACAGAUGAGAGAAGAGAGAGAGCUUGUGGAACAGCUACGUGAGAACAUUGAAACAAGGCUAAAGAUUUGUUUGCCUGAAGACCUGGGGUCUGCUCUGAUGGAUGGUGUAGUUCUCUGCCAUUUAGUAAAUCAUGUUCGUCCUCGGUCUGUAGCAAGUAUUCAUGUACCUUCACCAGCAGUACCUAAACUUAGCAUGGCCAAAUGCAGGAGAAACGUGGAAAACUUUCUGGAUGCAUGUAGAAAACUGGGAAUACCAGAGGCUGACCUCUGCUCUCCGUAUGACAUCCUGCAGUCGGAUAUUCGUCACAUUCGAAAGACUGUUGACACUCUGCUCGCCCUCGGGGAGAAAACCCCACAAUCAACUUCUACCUUUCGCUCCUGGGAUCUAAUAGGCUUUUGUCUUUUCCACAUACUUUUUAUAGUCUUGAUGUAUAUAACUUAUCACUGGAAUGUGCUAACAGCAUAACCUGUUCGCAUGUGCACACAAACUUUCUGCUUUGUCUCUGACAAGUUACAGGAGAAGCUCUGCCUACCACAUCACAUCCUAGAAGAAAAGGGCUUGGUAAAAGUGAGCAUAACAGUUCAAGCACUGCUAGAUGUAACCACAACGAAACAAGCUUUAUUCACAUGAAACUCCUCUCUGCUGUUACCAGCUCCACUGUGCCAUCAAAGAGUCAAAAUACUGCCCAGCUUUUCAAACUGCAUUGAAAACAACCCAGUGCUCCAAGAGUAUUCUUAUAAUUCUGAUUUCAAAAUCACCUUUCAGACUGUACCUGUGCGUCGAACGACAAACCAGAAACUAAACUGAAACGUUUUCUAGAGCAAAUUGGCGCUUCACUGCUUUUUAUAGCUCACUUUGUACAGUACUUACUGAAACAGUCACCUCUCUGCCACUUACAGAUGUGUGGAGUACACAGCUGUCUUGCAGCAAGAUACCUUUGUAUUAUUAACCUAAGAAUCACUGUAAUCAUGGGGGGGAGGGAGAGUAAAUCAGACUUCUACCACGUUAGGUUUUUCUGCAGUUGCUUCAGGCUAUUACUGCCUUUUAAAAGUAUCCAGACAUCAAAUAUUUAUAUAAAUAUUAUUUAUUAGUGAGUUGUUAUUCAUCCUUUGGAUGCAAAAAUGUAAAUUAGGAAACUGUAUUUUAUUACUGCUUUUUUGUGGUUAAACACUUUAUUUUAAUAUAAAUAUUGAGUUAUUUUUUAUUCUACUUGGUGUGCAGUAGCUCUAGGUCUCCGUAAAUUGUAUUUUCUAAUAUGUAAGAGAGAAAAAAGCAAACACAAGAGGUGCUUUUCUGAAAAGGACAGCUAGCUGGAAUGCCAUUCUUGAUCUCUUCAAUUUGUGGAACAUUUUUGUCAGCAUUCCAUUGAGUUUCCUACAUUCCAGUAGCACUUUCCCCCCCCAACUAGUGAAUUGGCUGAAACUAAGAGCACACCCAUUCUAGUUGUAUAUAGAUGUUAAAAAAAGACAAAAAAAGGAAAGAUGUAAACUUGAAAAAUAAAUGUGAAUGAAUAUUUUUGAUCGCUUAUUUUACUAUGCACAAGACAUUUAACUUUUGCCGCAAGAAAAUUAACGAUGUGCAUUAGGAUCAUGUGUCUUGAGAUAGGAUUUUGCACUGUAACUUGAUUUAAAGACUACAGCACUACAGAACAAACAGUAAGAAACAGCACAAGAACAGUAAUGAGAAGAGUAACCAGGCAGCCAAAACUGAUUUACUUGUUUUCUUCGGUGAUUCCUUCGAGAGGAGAUAAAGUUAUUAAAAUUGCGAAAGGCAGACUCAAAGACCUGAUCUUCCAGAUCCAUCCUGCUGGGUCCAGGGCUUCUCCUUAUGGUCUCCAUCACUUCCCCACAGAACUAAGCACAAUGUUCUGCAGUGGAUGUUUGCAGGAUUAGACCUCUUAUCCCACAUCAGCAAUAGAAAAUAAGAUUCUUGUUCUUAUCGCUACUUUAACGUAUCAUUUAUUGUUAAAACAUCACAUAUUUUAGAUCAAAAAGUUGAAUUCUUGCCAUGCCUGGAACAUCUGUUUUCCUUUCCUAUGAGAAGCUUAGGGAUGUAACUACAGCAAGCGGGACAGGAAAGCUGCAUGUGGGGAAGAGCUGAGGGGCAGUGGUGAAUGGUCAGCAGGGAGUUGGACAUGUGUAAUGACAAAAAGGAAGCAAUGUGGUCGUGGGAGGACUAAAUAUUUAAGCAAGAGAAUGGGGAGAGGACUGUUGUAUAAAGGCUUUUGGGAAAGGUGAUGCAUACCUGACACAGACACGCUGUACUUAAACCCAUCGGUAUUCCAACAGUAGGUUUAUAAGGGUUAAUACAGUGUUUGAAUGUAAACUUACAUGAUUUAAUACCACAAAUCAGGUAUAUAGUGACAGCAGUGUGGCAGGAGGAGUGUGGGCUCACAGCCGAUGAGGCGUAGGGUAUGCAUGGGAUAUCCAAUUACUUCAACCAAAGCAAAAGAGUUUAUUUUACAGAGGGAACAUUGACUUCAAGUAUAAUUUUCUGAUUGGCAGCUAGCAUAUGGUUUCCUAUAAAAUGUACUGUGCACUUUAACACUAAAUUAAAAUGUAUUUUAAUAUUUUACAGAGCUGCACAAAUAUCUGUUUUGUCAAAAAGCACGAGCAAUGUAAAGAAAAUAAGUUUUCAAGUCAGAGUUUAUCAGAUUUUAAAUGCAUUCACAGAUCAAGUAUAAAAAAUAGGAAUAUUGAUUUCUGCAUCUUGAGGGGUAAAAUGCAGGUUUCCUGAGUAUUUUUUUACAAUGUAUAUAUGGCAACAUGAAGCUUUGUAAUUAUUAUUUUGACAAAUCUUGGUUUUUUCAUAAUUAAAAUUUUGUUUUUCUCCUGAUAAUGUCUUUCAGUAUUUGCUUGACGCUGGCUGUAAAUAAAGAGCUCUAAAUAUUUUGUGAUACAGCUUUUUUUAUGCAGUCUUAACCUGUACGGCUGAAAGGAGAACCUCCAUGAACCUUUGUACCCUAUUUAUAUGUGCAAUAAAACAUGCAUGGCAAAGCUCUACUACCCUAAGCAGCGCACAUAAUGUAUAUAGAUCUCUACUGCAGCUAUAAUUAAACUCUAUUAUUUGUAGA
This is an RNA transcript of Strigops habroptila (Kakapo), 5147 nucleotides long. It is a transcript of the gene named leucine rich repeats and calponin homology domain containing 1, with no coding region annotated. The record is from RefSeq and is a predicted model, not a curated record. NCBI's taxonomy places the organism in Eukaryota, Metazoa, Chordata, Aves, Psittaciformes, Psittacidae. The transcript is spliced from 22 exons.